GACGAACCGUGCGAACGUUGUUCGGAAUCACUGGGCUUAAAGGGCGCGUAGGCGGGCUGUCAAGUCUGGGGUGAAAUCCCGCGGCUCAACCGUGGAACUGCCUCAGAUACUGACGGCCUCGAGGGAGAUAGGGGCGAGCGGAACUAAUGGUGGAGCGGUGAAAUGCGUUGAUAUCAUUAGGAACUCCGGUGGCGAAGGCGGCUCGCUGGGUCUCUUCUGACGCUGAUGCGCGAAAGCCAGGGGAGCAAACGGG
This 253-nucleotide ribosomal RNA is filed under the name uncultured bacterium. RNAcentral describes it as "partial 16S ribosomal RNA". It matches the Rfam family "Bacterial small subunit ribosomal RNA", at positions 524 to 776 of the family's 1533-position model. The record is from RNAcentral.